This 497-nucleotide ribosomal RNA is filed under the name uncultured bacterium. Its description in RNAcentral is "partial 16S ribosomal RNA". It matches the Rfam family "Bacterial small subunit ribosomal RNA", at positions 28 to 507 of the family's 1533-position model. The record is from RNAcentral.
GAUGAACGCUGGCGGCGUGCCUAAUACAUGCAAGUCGAGCGAACAGACGAGGAGCUUGCUCCUCUGACGUUAGCGGCGGACGGGUGAGUAACACGUGGAUAACCUACCUAUAAGACUGGGAUAACUUCGGGAAACCGGAGCUAAUACCGGAUAAUAUCUUGAACCGCAUUGUUCAAUAGUGAAAGACGGUUUUGCUGUCACUUAUAGAUGGAUCCGCGCCGCAUUAGCUAGUUGGUAAGGUAACGGCUUACCAAGGCAACGAUGCGUAGCCGACCUGAGAGGGUGAUCGGCCACACUGGAACUGAGACACGGUCCAGACUCCUACGGGAGGCAGCAGUAGGGAAUCUUCCGCAAUGGGCGAAAGCCUGACGGAGCAACGCCGCGUGAGUGAUGAAGGUCUUCGGAUCGUAAAACUCUGUUAUUAGGGAAGAACAAAUGUGUAAGUAACUAUGCACGUCUUGACGGUACCUAAUCAGAAAGCCACGGCUAACUACGUG